This 460-nucleotide ribosomal RNA is filed under the name uncultured bacterium. Its description in RNAcentral is "partial 16S ribosomal RNA". It matches the Rfam family "Bacterial small subunit ribosomal RNA", at positions 338 to 795 of the family's 1533-position model. The record is from RNAcentral.
CCUACGGGAGGCUGCAGUGAGGAAUAUUGGUCAAUGGGCGCGAGCCUGAACCAGCCAAGUAGCGUGAAGGAUGACUGCCCUACGGGUUGUAAACUUCUUUUAUAAAGGAAUAAAGUGAGGCACGUGUGCCUUUUUGUAUGUACUUUAUGAAUAAGGAUCGGCUAACUCCGUGCCAGCAGCCGCGGUAAUACGGAGGAUCCGAGCGUUAUCCGGAUUUAUUGGGUUUAAAGGGAGCGUAGAUGGGUUGUUAAGUCAGUUGUGAAAGUUUGCGGCUCAACCGUAAAAUUGCAAUUGAUACUGGCAGCCUUGAGUACAGUUGAGGUAGGCGGAAUUCGUGGUGUAGCGGUGAAAUGCUUAGAUAUCACGAAGAACUCCGAUUGCGAAGGCAGCUUACUAAACUGCCACUGACAUUGAUGCUCGAAAGUGUGGGUAUCGAACAGGAUUAGAUACCCUAGUAGUC